GUUAAUGAUCUUCCUUCCAACAAGGAGUCCUUUUUCUUUUUAAUUGCUAAAUUGGAGAAACAAAUGGAUCGUCCUAGCAGAAGUGGAUAGGAGGCCGCAGCAGAGCCAGCAGUUUUGCAUUCAUCUGUUUUCAGUCUGUCUUGCAUGAUUUUGCACCCUUUCCUUUUUUACUCACAACAGCGGUGACCUUGUGGAAAUCAGGAACCAAUUUGAUGGAGAAAGGUUUUUCCGUGGAGCAAAGGGGGCAUGGUUUUGUGUGCUGCCUGCAUCCCAUGGAUUCGGCUUUGCUUCUUUGCACAACCCAGUUGCUGGCAUGAUGCGGACCAGUCCAUGGACCAGGAGUUGGGGACCUCUGCUCUACAACACUCAAAGGUUAGCACAUCCAAAUUUCUCUUCUUAUCCAA
Molecule: long non-coding RNA, 404 nt
Organism: Crotalus tigris (Tiger rattlesnake)
Lineage: Eukaryota; Metazoa; Chordata; Lepidosauria; Squamata; Viperidae
Exons: 3
Source: RefSeq, a predicted model, not a curated record